GACGAACGCUGGCGGCGCGCUUAACACAUGCAAGUCGAGCGAUGAAACUUUAACAGAACCCUUCGGGGCGAAGAUAAAGUGGAUUAGCGGCGGACGGGUGAGUAACACGUGAGUAACCUGCCUUAGACAGUGGGAUAGCCUCGGGAAACCGGGAUUAAUACCAAAUAAAAUCAUAAUGACACAUGUCAUAACGAUCAAAACUCCGGUGGUCUAAGAUGGACUCGCGUCCCAUUAGCUAGUUGGUAGAGUAAAAGCCUACCAAGGCGACGAUGGGUAGCCGGCCUGAGAGGGUGAACGGCCACAUUGGAACUGAGAAACGGUCCAAACUCCUACGGGAGGCAGCAGUGGGGAAUAUUGCACAAUGGAGGGAACUCUGAUGCAGCGACGCCGCGUGAACGAAGAAGGCUUUCGAGUCGUAAAGUUCUUUUAUAUGGGAAGAUAAUGACGGUACCAUAAGAAAAAGCCCCGGCUAACUACGUG
Molecule: ribosomal RNA, 480 nt
Filed under: uncultured bacterium
Lineage: Bacteria
Description: partial 16S ribosomal RNA
Rfam family: Bacterial small subunit ribosomal RNA
Source: RNAcentral